This 253-nucleotide ribosomal RNA is filed under the name uncultured bacterium. RNAcentral's name for it is "partial 16S ribosomal RNA". It matches the Rfam family "Bacterial small subunit ribosomal RNA", at positions 524 to 776 of the family's 1533-position model. The record is from RNAcentral.
UACGUAGGGGGCGAGCGUUGUCCGGAUUUAUUGGGCGUAAAGAGCGUGUAGGCGGCCAGGUAGGUCUGCUGUGAAAACUCGAGGCUCAACCUCGAGACGUCGGCGGAAACCAUCUGGCUAGAGUCCGGAAGAGGAGAGUGGAAUUCCCGGUGUAGCGGUGAAAUGCGUAGAGAUCGGGAGGAACACCUGCGGCGAAAGCGGCUCACUGGACCAUAACUGACGCUGAUGCACGGAAGCUAGGGGAGCAAACAGG